GCUGUACAGCCAUAACAUUACUUUUAUCAGCAUCAAUCUGAGCAUUCUUAAGUUUCUCCCUUAGGUUAUUUGACAUUUGGUGACACUCAAUAAUCGCAUCAUCUUUAGAAGACAAAAUUAGGUUCCAUUCUUGUACUUUUACAUUUACAGCUGCCAUAAUUAGAUCAUCUUCUUCAGUUUUGAAUUUCAGAAGAUCUGUAAGCUCCUGCACUCCAAGUUGAUAAUGAUCGUUGUCUUUUUUUAAUUGAUAUAUGACAUGAUCUGUAUGAUGCACAAUAUGUUUCAUAGGAAUAGUUAAUCUGUCAUCCAGGCUUUCUCGUGAAUCAUCGAAUCUUUGAACGCACAUUGCGCCCCCUGGUAUUCCGGGGGGCAUGCCUGUUCGAGCGUCAUUUCACCACUCAAGCCUCGCUUGGUAUUGGGCAACGCGGUCCGCCGCGUGCCUCAAAUCGACCGGCUGGGUCUUCUGUCCCCUAAGCGUUGUGGAAACUAUUCGCUAAAGGGUGUUCGGGAGGGUACGCCGUAAAACAACCCCAUUUCUAAGGUUGACCUCGGAUCAGGUAGGGAUACCCGCUGAACUUAAGCAUAUCAAUAAGCGG
This 596-nucleotide ribosomal RNA is filed under the name Cladosporium sp. CM13006B. Its description in RNAcentral is "eukaryotic LSU rRNA". The stretch from base 237 to 389 matches the Rfam family "5.8S ribosomal RNA". Lineage: Eukaryota; Fungi; Ascomycota; Dothideomycetes; Cladosporiales; Cladosporiaceae. The record is from RNAcentral.